GCAAGUCGAACGGGCUAGUGCUUCGCACUAGUCUCUUUCUGGGGUUGUUACUCUAAGGCUACCUGCUAAGGUUAUUGCUUUAAAGCAGGGGUUUUAGGAGACUUUCCCCGAAAGGGGCCAGUGCGGAGCACUGGCCAGUGGCGAACGGGUGAGUAACACGUGGGUAAUCUACCCUCGAGUGGGGAAUAAGCUUCCGAAAGGGGGUCUAAUGCCGCAUAACGUUUCAUAACGAUGGUUAUGAAACCAAAGCCCAAAAGGCGCUCGAGGAGGAGCCUGCGUCCUAUCAGCUUGUUGGCAGGGUAAUGGCCUACCAAGGCUAUGACGGGUAGCCGGCCUGAGAGGGUGUCCGGCCACACUGGAACUGAGACACGGUCCAGACUCCUACGGGAGGCAGCAGUGGGGAAUUUUGCGCAAUGGGGGAAACCCUGACGCAGCGACGCCGCGUGGAGGAUGACGGCCUUCGGGUUGUAAACUCCUGUCAGAAGGGACGAAAUCCCGCAAGGGACUGACGGUACCUUCAGAGGAAGCCCCGGCUAACUACGUG
This 544-nucleotide ribosomal RNA is filed under the name uncultured bacterium. RNAcentral's name for it is "bacterial SSU rRNA". It matches the Rfam family "Bacterial small subunit ribosomal RNA", at positions 57 to 507 of the family's 1533-position model. The record is from RNAcentral.